GGAAAAUUUUCAUGCGCGCCAUUGUUAACGUUUUUUUGCGGUCGGAAGAGGUCGGAAAUCCCGGACAAGUUUUUAUUUGGUUUUGGUAUUGAAGUGGCCAUAAUCAGAUCGGAAGACAAUGGCAUCAAUUUAGGUAACGGCGAGGCAGAUGCAAAGGGCAGAAGAUCACAACCGGUGCUUCAGGCGUGAGCUGCAAACAAUUUUUACUUCUAUCAGAUAGAAGUUUAGCGCACAAACCGUACUCAUCGCACAUACGGGACAUGGAUCUUGAAGGUGAGCCGGAGCCGUCUACCAGAGAUUGGUUGCGUCGGAGGCGCACCGGUACGCAUUGCAGUGAUGGUGAUAGUUAUGAUGAAUAAAAAAAACAAGUGUCUCAGUGAGUGUAAUAAAGUUUUUCUAGAUAUAAAUAAAAUCAAAAAAGCAAGGAAA
Long non-coding RNA from Uranotaenia lowii, 429 nucleotides. RefSeq lists it as uncharacterized. The transcript is spliced from 2 exons. Lineage: Eukaryota; Metazoa; Arthropoda; Insecta; Diptera; Culicidae. The record is from RefSeq and is a predicted model, not a curated record.